Molecule: ribosomal RNA, 465 nt
Filed under: uncultured Klebsiella sp.
Lineage: Bacteria; Pseudomonadati; Pseudomonadota; Gammaproteobacteria; Enterobacterales; Enterobacteriaceae
Description: bacterial SSU rRNA
Rfam family: Bacterial small subunit ribosomal RNA
Source: RNAcentral
CCUACGGGCGGCAGCAGCGGGGAAUAUUGCACAAUGGGCGCAAGCCUGAUGCAGCCAUGCCGCGUGUGUGAAGAAGGCCUUCGGGUUGUAAAGCACUUUCAGCGGGGAGGAAGGCGGUGAGGUUAAUAACCUCAUCGAUUGACGUUACCCGCAGAAGAAGCACCGGCUAACUCCGUGCCAGCAGCCGCGGUAAUACGGAGGGUGCAAGCGUUAAUCGGAAUUACUGGGCGUAAAGCGCACGCAGGCGGUCUGUCAAGUCGGAUGUGAAAUCCCCGGGCUCAACCUGGGAACUGCAUUCGAAACUGGCAGGCUAGAGUCUUGUAGAGGGGGGUAGAAUUCCAGGUGUAGCGGUGAAAUGCGUAGAGAUCUGGAGGAAUACCGGUGGCGAAGGCGGCCCCCUGGACAAAGACUGACGCUCAGGUGCGAAAGCGUGGGGAGCAAACAGGAUUAGAUACCCGGGUAGUC